This 468-nucleotide ribosomal RNA is filed under the name uncultured bacterium. RNAcentral's name for it is "bacterial SSU rRNA". It matches the Rfam family "Bacterial small subunit ribosomal RNA", at positions 27 to 507 of the family's 1533-position model. The record is from RNAcentral.
GGACGAACGCUGGCGGCGCGCCUAACACAUGCAAGUCGAACGGAGCUUAGAGAGCUUGCUUUUUAAGCUUAGUGGCGAACGGGUGAGUAACGCGUGAGUAACCUGCCCUAGAGUGGGGGGACAACAGUUGGAAACGACUGCUAAUACCGCAUAAGCCCACGGUACCGCAUGGCACUGAGGGAAAAGGAUUUAUUCGCUUUAGGAUGGACUCGCGUCCAAUUAGCUAGUUGGUGAGGUAACGGCCCACCAAGGCGACGAUUGGUAGCCGGACUGAGAGGUUGAACGGCCACAUUGGGACUGAGACACGGCCCAGACUCCUACGGGAGGCAGCAGUGGGGGAUAUUGCACAAUGGGGGAAACCCUGAUGCAGCGACGCCGCGUGGAGGAAGAAGGUUUUCGGAUUGUAAACUCCUGUCGUUAGGGACGAUAAUGACGGUACCUAACAAGAAAGCACCGGCUAACUACGUG